AACUCACGAACCGUGAGAUCACGACCUGAGCUGAAUUGGACGCUUAACCGGCUGAGCCACCCAGGCGCCCCUGGUUUGUUAUUUUGAAGUGAGAGCCACAAAACUGAAUUCAUCGUCAUCUUGGUUUAUUACCAAGCUGUGUUCGUUGACCUGUGCGUGGCUCUGUGGACCGAGUUCAUUAGGAACCUGAAGGUCACCCGGAACCCUUGCCCACCCUGAGAGCUACGGCCUCUGUCUCCUUCCGUGCGCCCCCGUAAACCCCUGGGUUCUGUUUCUGCCGUCCUGACCUUUGAUUGAACUAAGGGGUAAUCCUACAACUGGGUGUCCCCAUGGGACUGUGGGGGACUCUCAGUGUCUCUGAGGUCCUGGUGGAUCC
Lynx canadensis (Canada lynx) is the source of this 376-nucleotide long non-coding RNA. RefSeq lists it as uncharacterized. The transcript is spliced from 2 exons. Lineage: Eukaryota; Metazoa; Chordata; Mammalia; Carnivora; Felidae. The record is from RefSeq and is a predicted model, not a curated record.